CAGUCGAGCGAACACUCUGCUUUGAUUCUUUCGGGAUGAAGAGCAUUGUGACUGAGCGGCGGACGGGUGAGUAACGCGUGGGUAACCUGCCUCAUACAGGGGGAUAACAGUUAGAAAUGGCUGCUAAUACCGCAUAAGACCACAGCACCGCAUGGUGCAGGGGUAAAAACUCCGGUGGUAUGAGAUGGACCCGCGUCUGAUUAGCUAGUUGGUGGGGUAACGGCCUACCAAGGCGACGAUCAGUAGCCGACCUGAGAGGGUGACCGGCCACAUUGGGACUGAGACACGGCCCAAACUCCUACGGGAGGCAGCAGUGGGGAAUAUUGCACAAUGGGGGAAACCCUGAUGCAGCGACGUCGCGUGAGCGAAGAAGUAUUUCGGUAUGUAAAGCUCUAUCAGCAGGGAAGAAAAUGACGGUACCUGACUAAGAAGCCCCGGCUAACUACGUGCCAGCAGCCGCGGUAAUACGUAGGGGGCAAGCGUUAUCCGGAUUUACUGGGUGUAAAGGGAGCGUAGACGGCGAGGCAAGUCUGAUGUGAAAACCCGGGGCUCAACCCCGUGACUGCAUUGGAAACUGUUUUGCUUGAGUGCCGGAGAGGUAAGCGGAAUUCCUAGUGUAGCGGUGAAAUGCGUAGAUAUUAGGAGGAACACCAGUGGCGAAGGCGGCUUACUGGACGGCAACUGACGUUGAGGCUCGAAAGCGUGGGGAGCAAACAGGAUUAGAUACCCUGGUAGUCCACGCCGUANACGAUGAAUACUNGGUGUCGG
This 768-nucleotide ribosomal RNA is filed under the name uncultured bacterium. RNAcentral describes it as "bacterial SSU rRNA". It matches the Rfam family "Bacterial small subunit ribosomal RNA", at positions 59 to 826 of the family's 1533-position model. The record is from RNAcentral.